AUGGGGAACAGCUGCGUCGGCGCCGGCCCCAACGGCGCCGGCCGCAGCGGCUUCCUCGCCUCCGUCGCCAUCUGGCGCGCGAAGCCCGCCGAGCAGGCGCCGGCCACCGACACCCCCCCGGCGUCCACCUCCGAGCAGAAGGCGCCCGAGCCCGUCACCAUCCCCCCCGGCGAGCACUCCUCCUCGCAUGGCGGCGCGCGCCCCUCCGACCCGCCGCCCCCCAAGCGCGCCGAGACGCAGCGGCAGAUGUCGAUGGCCCCCACGGCGAAGAAGCCCGUGCCCAAGGUCAAGCGCGUCCAGAGCGCCGGCCUCCAGGCCGACUCCGUCCUCAAGCGCGACGUCAACACCGCCAAACUCAAGGACCUCUACACCAUCGGCAAGAAGCUGGGGCAGGGCCAGUUCGGCACCACCUACCUCUGCGUCGAGAAGGCCACGGGGAAGGAGUACGCCUGCAAGUCCAUCGCCAAGCGGAAGCUGCUCACCGAUGAGGACGUGGAGGACGUGCGCCGCGAGAUCCAGAUCAUGCACCACCUGGCCGGGCACAGCAGCGUCGUCUCCAUCGUCGGCGCCUACGAGGACGCCGUCGCCGUGCAGCUUGUCAUGGAGCUCUGCGCCGGCGGCGAGCUGUUCGACAGGAUCAUCCAGAGGGGGCACUACUCCGAGAAGGCCGCGGCGCAGCUCACCAGGGUGAUCGUCGGCGUCAUCGAGGCGUGCCACUCGCUCGGCGUGAUGCACAGGGAUCUCAAGCCGGAGAAUUUCUUGUUCAUCAAUACUCAGGAGGACUCGCCGCUCAAGGCCAUUGAUUUCGGGCUCUCCAUCUUCUUCACGCCAGGUCAGAUGUUUACAGAUGUAGUUGGAAGUCCAUACUAUGUUGCACCUGAGGUUCUUCUAAAGAACUAUGGGCGUGAAGUUGACGUCUGGAGUGCUGGUGUAAUAAUCUAUAUCUUGUUGAGUGGGGUUCCUCCAUUCUGGGAUGAAAGUGAACAAGGGAUAUUUGAACAAGUUUUGAAAGGUGAGCUGGACUUUACAACUGAUCCCUGGCCUAGUAUCUCAGAGAGUGCGAAGGAUUUGGUCAGGAAAAUGCUUAAUCGUGAUCCAAGGAAGAGAUUGACUGCCCACGAAGCGCUAUGUCACCCUUGGGUUUGUGUUGAUGGAGUUGCUCCUGAUAAACCUCUUGAUUCUGCUGUCCUAAGUCGGUUAAAACAAUUUUCUGCAAUGAACAAACUAAAGAAAAUGGCCCUUAGGGUUAUUGCCGAGAGUUUGUCUGAAGAAGAGAUUGCAGGAUUGAAAGAAAUGUUUAAAAUGCUAGACACUGAUAACAGCGGUCAUAUCACAUUGGAGGAGCUAAAAACUGGCUUGCGGCGAGUUGGUGCUACUCUGAUGGACUCAGAAAUUGAUGCUUUAAUGGAAGCAGCCGAUAUUGACAAUAGUGGUACCAUUGAUUAUGGGGAGUUCAUUGCUGCAACUAUGCAUAUGAACAAAGUUGAGAAGGACGAUAAGCUCUUUGCAGCCUUUCAAUACUUUGAUAAAGACGGCAGUGGUUACAUUACUCAAGAUGAGCUCCAAAAGGCAUGCGAGGAGUUUGGUAUUGGAGACACCCGUAUUGAAGAUAUUAUCGGAGAUGUCGAUAAGGACAAUGUAAGUAGAUUCAUUGUUCAGGUUUUAAAUUGCCAACAACAGUUUUGUCUCAUUGUCCACCACCUUUUGCAGGAUGGAAAGAUCGACUACAAUGAGUUUGUCGAAAUGAUGCAGAAAGGAAAUAAUCCACUGGGUAGAAAGGGACAGCAAAGCAAUGUGAACUUUGGUCUUGGAGAUGCACUGAAGCUUCGGUAA
RNAcentral lists this ribosomal RNA (1833 nucleotides) under Triticum aestivum (bread wheat). RNAcentral's name for it is "partial small subunit ribosomal RNA". Lineage: Eukaryota; Viridiplantae; Streptophyta; Magnoliopsida; Poales; Poaceae. The record is from RNAcentral.